GCCAGCAUGGUAUAGUGGUUUGAGUACUGGACUAUGACUCUGGAGACCAGGGUUCGAGUCACUGCUGGGCA
This is a non-coding RNA of Phrynosoma platyrhinos (Desert horned lizard), 71 nucleotides long. NCBI's taxonomy places the organism in Eukaryota, Metazoa, Chordata, Lepidosauria, Squamata, Phrynosomatidae. The record is from the annotation of a GenBank genome assembly.